Molecule: ribosomal RNA, 569 nt
Filed under: Cyphocleonus adumbratus
Lineage: Eukaryota; Metazoa; Arthropoda; Insecta; Coleoptera; Curculionidae
Description: partial 28S ribosomal RNA
Rfam family: Eukaryotic large subunit ribosomal RNA
Source: RNAcentral
AGCCCUAAGUGGGUGGUAAACUCCAUCUAAGGCUAAAUAUGACCACGAGACCGAUAGCGAACAAGUACCGUGAGGGAAAGUUGAAAAGCACUUUGAAGAGAGAGUUCAAGAGUACGUGAAACCGUUUAGGGGUAAACCUGAGAAACCCGAAAGGUCGAAGGAAGAAAUUCAUUCGCGUUUCGUCGCAGGCGUCGAGCGGGAUCGUGUGACGGGGAGCGUGUUCGCGCGCUACCCGCGCCUCCCGUUCUUCGAACCGGUAACGAACGCGUGCACUUUUCUUCUGGUAGGACGUCGCGAUCCGUUGGGUGUCGGUCUACGGCUCGCGGUGGAGCCCGUUCGUCGUAUGUCUCGUACGUACGAACGGACCCGCGUGUCCCGGCUGACUCGCUCGACGGUACACGAAAGGUUCAAGGCCGCUCUCUAGGAGCGUUCGGCUCGCGGCAAGCGCGCCAGAUGCGUCGGCGAUCGGACCUAGUGCCGAUUCUGACCUCUGGUGACUGUUGGCCGCGAAGUUCUCGAACAGACCUUAAGAGACCGAUCAGCGACGCUAUAGCUUUGGGUACUUUCAG